Molecule: long non-coding RNA, 1024 nt
Filed under: Marmota monax (woodchuck)
Lineage: Eukaryota; Metazoa; Chordata; Mammalia; Rodentia; Sciuridae
Source: RNAcentral
AUGACUAUGAAUCAUAUUUUUAAUAUAAGGGAGGAUAACUUUUUUAACAAAAUUUUUUCCUUCCACACCCAUGAGUCGAUUACUUUGCCUCCUAAUUUAAUGUUAGUUUUACCAAUGUAAUUCUAGGGCCAGCUGCUAUGGUAUCCCUAAAAUAUCCUUUGCCUUUAACAUUUAAGCCACCAUCUCUUGUAUGAUGAAAACUCACUCACCCCUCCACUUUUUUCCAUCUUUAUACUAAAUUUUCUGAGUCUUAAAUUCCUCCUAGUUGCUUCCAGCAUGCACGUUAGAUUGCUUAGAUUGAGUGCCCUGUCUCCACUGUGCCCUUCACUUCCUGUAAUUGCACCCACCAAGUCUUAUGCUUCCAUGUUAAAUUUAUGGAUUUUGAUUUGUAGAUUGCCCAUGUAUUUUAACAGGAAGAAUUGGGCCCAACAUAUGCCAUGUGGGAUCUAGACAAAAAUUACUGAUAUACUUGAAUAAGAAAUAGGGCCUUGGGCUCGGGACCAAGCAAUGGAUUCAUAAUGAUAUUAUUUAAUUACAUUGAGCCCAAACUGUUUAAUUGGUGAAAUAUGAAAAGCUCUGCAGUGAUUUUUUUUUCCCAAGAAAAAAAUGACACUCCUUCUGGAUGCUUCUCCUCGAAUGACGUGUCGUGUGGCAUGCAUGUUUGAGUCCCUUGGUGGCUUAUUAAUUUGAAAUGUUGGUCCAGUGGGGCUUUCUGAUAUUUUGAAAUCUUUUUCUAAGCAAUAUCCUUCUGGUGUCUUCUCUCUUGCCCUUCUUUCUCACAACUCAAAGAUUUACUCUUUCACCCAAGCCAUCAGCUUAAAUUAUACUCAAUGAAUAUAACGAGAUCUUUGUGCUUUGUAAAUAUAAUCAGUCUUUCCCGAGUAACUGUCAACAGAAGGCUAUUUGCUGUGAAGUGCUGUUGAAGACUUUUUUUGUGUGUUUGUGGUUUACUGGAUGUGAAACUGUUUAUUUGAAAUGUCAUUUCCUGGAAUGUUCUGGUAUCAGUGGACAAAGUCUAUGGCCA